CCUACGGGAGGCAGCAGUGAGGAAUAUUGGUCAAUGGGCGGGAGCCUGAACCAGCCAUGCCGCGUGAAGGCGAGUGCCCUACGGGCGUGUAACUUCUUUUUUGCGGGGGCAAUAAGGGCCACGUGUGGCCAGACGAGAGUACCGUACGAAUAAACAUCGGCUAACUCCGUGCCAACAACCGGGGUAAUAAGGGGGAUGCAAGCGGUAUCCGGGUUUAUUGGGUUUAAAGGGUACGUAGGCUGGGAGGUAAGUCAGCGGUGAAAUGCCCCCGCUCAACGGGGUGAAGUGCCAUUGAUACUGCCUUGCUGGAAUGCGGAUGAGGUGGGAGGAAUGUGUGGUGUAGCGGUGAAAUGCAUAGAUAUCACACAGAACACCGAUUGCGAAGGCAUCUCACGAAUCCGCGAUUGACGCUGAUGCACGAAAGCGUGGGUAUCAAACAGGAUUAGAUACCCUAGUAGUC
Molecule: ribosomal RNA, 460 nt
Filed under: uncultured bacterium
Lineage: Bacteria
Description: partial 16S ribosomal RNA
Rfam family: Bacterial small subunit ribosomal RNA
Source: RNAcentral